AUUGAACGCUGGCGGCAUGCCUUACACAUGCAAGUCGAACGGUAACGGGCCUUCGGGUGCCGACGAGUGGCGAACGGGUGAGUAAUACAUCGGAACGUGCCCGAUCGUGGGGGAUAACGAGGCGAAAGCUUUGCUAAUACCGCAUACGAUCUACGGAUGAAAGCAGGGGACCACAAGGCCUUGCGCGGACGGAGCGGCCGAUGGCAGAUUAGGUAGUUGGUGGGAUAAAAGCUUACCAAGCCGACGAUCUGUAGCUGGUCUGAGAGGAUGAUCAGCCACACUGGGACUGAGACACGGCCCAGACUCCUACGGGAGGCAGCAGUGGGGAAUUUUAGACAAUGGGCGCAAGCCUGAUCCAGCCAUGCCGCGUGCAGGAUGAAGGCCUUCGGGUUGUAAACUGCUUUUGUACGGAACGAAAAGCCUUCUUUUAAUACAGGAGGGUCAUGACGGUACCGUAAGAAUAAGCACCGGCUAACUACGUG
This 482-nucleotide ribosomal RNA is filed under the name uncultured bacterium. Its description in RNAcentral is "partial 16S ribosomal RNA". It matches the Rfam family "Bacterial small subunit ribosomal RNA", at positions 30 to 507 of the family's 1533-position model. The record is from RNAcentral.